RNAcentral lists this microRNA precursor (94 nucleotides) under Cinara cedri. The record is from RNAcentral. Lineage: Eukaryota; Metazoa; Arthropoda; Insecta; Hemiptera; Aphididae.
AUCUAGUCAAUGUGUUUGACGGGUGUAGUCUUUAGUGCACGUUAAUAUUUACAAUCGUGACUAGAGUUACACUCGUCAAAUUCAUCAGGCAAAA